GGGCGUUUAGCUCAGCGGGAGAGCGCUGCCUUCACACGGCAGAGGUCGUGGGUUCAAAUCCCUCAACGCCCACCA
Molecule: transfer RNA, 75 nt
Filed under: Actinomycetes bacterium
Lineage: Bacteria; Bacillati; Actinomycetota; Actinomycetes
Also listed under: 1 other name
Description: Actinobacteria bacterium (groundwater metagenome) tRNA-Val
Rfam family: tRNA
About the family: Transfer RNA (tRNA) molecules are approximately 80 nucleotides in length. Their secondary structure includes four short double-helical elements and three loops (D, anti-codon, and T loops). Further hydrogen bonds mediate the characteristic L-shaped molecular structure. tRNAs have two regions of fundamental functional importance: the anti-codon, which is responsible for specific mRNA codon recognition, and the 3' end, to which the tRNAs corresponding amino acid is attached (by aminoacyl-tRNA synthetases). tRNAs cope with the degeneracy of the genetic code in two manners: having more than one tRNA (with a specific anti-codon) for a particular amino acid; and 'wobble' base-pairing, i.e. permitting non-standard base-pairing at the 3rd anti-codon position.
Source: RNAcentral